Pelobates cultripes (western spadefoot toad) is the source of this 769-nucleotide non-coding RNA. The record is from the annotation of a GenBank genome assembly. NCBI's taxonomy places the organism in Eukaryota, Metazoa, Chordata, Amphibia, Anura, Pelobatidae.
CUGUAAGCUCUUGGGAUCAGGGUCCUAUGAAUGGUUUAUCCAUUGUACAGUACUGCAGCUAAUGUUGGGGCUUGUAUUCCAGCCUGAAUCUGGAAGAGGGUGCAGGCAGCUAGCUGAAUGGCCCAGCAGGAUUAAUGUCGUCCCAGGACAAUGCAGAGUCUGUUUCCAGCAUUCAGGAUGGUCGGGUCAGGGAAUAGAAGGAGGAUUGAGUGCAGGGAGAGGGGAGGAGGGAAAGGUAGAGAGGGGCUUUAUUCAGCAGGCACAGAGAUGACGUGUCAGACAGGACUGAGGUGUAAAAUGUUGAACAGAAAUUGAAGGUUUUCGCCUGAGUGAAAGACACUGAAUGGUAGUUAAAGAGUUACACUGGGACUGAUUUAACUCAAGGAUUUGUCCCCAAAACUUACAUACAGAUAAACCAUGAAGGACCUCCAACACCCUGUGCAGGUGUUAUGGUUUAUUAAGCUGAUUAGAGUGGUACACUGUGAGCCUAGAGUAUUGCACCUUUUCACAAUAUUCUAAUUUACUGAGAUUGUGGAUUUGGGGUUUUCAUGAGCUGUAAGCCAUAAUCAUCGCACUUAUGACAAAUCACGGCUUGAACUAUCUGGCUUUGCAUGUAAUGCGUCUCUCUCAUAUAUUAGUUUCCCCUUUUGCGUUGCAUUACUGAAAUAAAUGAACUUUUGCACGAUAUUCUAAUUUUUCGAGUAUCACCUGUAUUUACAUAGUUACAAAGUUACAUAGCUGAAAAGAGACUUGCGUCCAUCAAGUUCAG